AACGCACCUUGCGCCUCUUGGUAUUCCGAGAGGCAUGCCUGUUCGAGUGUCAUAUAAUCAUCAACGCGAAAGUUUAUUCUUUCGACGCUUGGAAUAUGGAGUCGUGCGAGCGCCCUUCACCGGGCUUCGCUCCUCUCGAAAUGUAUCGGUGACCGUCUCAUUCGCGGAUCCUCCGGCGUGAUAAUUAUCUACGUCGCUGCGCAUCCGCGUCCAACAGACGUCGCCUACAACCGUCCCUUCGCGGACAGACUUAUGACGAAUUUGACCUCGGAUCAGGUAGGAUUACCCGCUGAACUUAA
RNAcentral lists this unclassified non-coding RNA (299 nucleotides) under uncultured Basidiomycota. RNAcentral describes it as "sequence contains ITS2". The stretch from base 1 to 52 matches the Rfam family "5.8S ribosomal RNA", at positions 103 to 154 of the family's 154-position model. Lineage: Eukaryota; Fungi; Basidiomycota. The record is from RNAcentral.